AACUAGCCCCGAUUGCAACGGAAAUCCUUUUUGUAAGAAGCGAUGGGAAAAGCAAGGACUUGCAAAAAGAUUGCAGUGGAAAGCGGGAUUAAGC
Molecule: small RNA, 94 nt
Filed under: Epilithonimonas xixisoli
Lineage: Bacteria; Pseudomonadati; Bacteroidota; Flavobacteriia; Flavobacteriales; Weeksellaceae
Description: Chryseobacterium xixisoli Flavo-1 RNA
Rfam family: Flavo-1 RNA
Source: RNAcentral